Molecule: ribosomal RNA, 515 nt
Filed under: uncultured bacterium
Lineage: Bacteria
Description: bacterial SSU rRNA
Rfam family: Bacterial small subunit ribosomal RNA
Source: RNAcentral
AGAGUUGUCCUGGCUUAGGAUGAACGCUAGCUACAGGCUUAACACAUGCAAGUCGAGGGGCAGCAUGGUCUAGCUGCUAAGAUGAUGGCGACCGGCGCACGGGUGAGUAACGCGUAUCCAACCUUCCCUAUAGUAGGGGAUAGCCCGUAGAAAUGCGGAUUAAUACCCUAUGUUGUAUUUCGAUGACAUCUGACGAAUACCAAAGGUUCACCGCUAUAGGAUGGGGAUGCGUCUGAUUAGGUAGUCGGCGGGUAACGGCCCACCGAGCCAGCGAUCAGUAGGGGUUCUGAGAGGAAGGUCCCCCACAUUGGAACUGAGACACGGUCCAAACUCCUACGGGAGGCAGCAGUGAGGAAUAUUGGUCAAUGGGCGAGAGCCUGAACCAGCCAAGUAGCGUGCAGGAUGACGGCCCUAUGGGUUGUAAACUGCUUUUAUGCGGGGAUAAAGUGAGGGACGUGUCCCUUAUUGUAGGUACCGCAUGAAUAAGGACCGGCUAAUUCCGUGCCAGCAGCCGC